AGAGGCUGGCUGGAAAAUCCAGGCUGGGGUUCAGAUUUGGAAAAUACCAAAAGUGAAUGCUGCCCUGGAUUUUGCAAUGCUGCCUACUGGAAAUCCCACCUGCAGCUGCAGUGGCUUUUGGCAUUAUCAUGCACGACUAGAAGAAAUAUUCAACAGUUUGGAGCAAGCAGAAUAAAACACUGACAGCUCAGGACUCUGAAAAUUCGGUUUGCAGAGUAAUUUGACAGAAGGUUUGGACACCAUGCCCACUGUAAUCUCCGCUCAGGAGCUCAGCCGUGACCUUUCAGGUUCACAGGACACAGACAGCAGCUUGUCUGGAAAGGAGAGGCUUAUUCAGCACAAUGUGAUCCAGAUGUGCAGACAUCUCUCCAUGUAGACAUGGCUGAUAGAGCUGGGAUUUACAGGGCAUCUAUGAGGCCCAGACUGAAACCUGAAGAGGUGCAUGGUCUGGAAACCAGCAAAUCGUGACUCACCUCCACUCCACUUGUGAAAGGUUUCUCUAACGCACCCUGCUGAGCUUUUGGAAGUGCUCACAAUGUACACAGGAAAUUAAGUGACAAAGAAUAUGCUGUGAACUGCUCAUACCAAGCAAACUAGAAUGAAAUACAGUAUUUGCUGGGAGAAUAAUAAGCAUCCACAUGUGACUGCUGCAUGCUGACUAACAAUUUAACAAGUACUGGAAAAAGGAGAUUAACUAUGUUAUGUGCCUCUCUUGUCCAUAACUGCCAGCUCAUUACAUAGCAAAAUAGGUACCAUCUCAGCCAGCCUGAGACCUGUAAAAUCAAUACAACUCUUUAAAAGCAACUUAGAAACUCCUAGGCUAUGAACUCAAACCACAGCACUGGUGGUUGCCUACUUAAGGGGUAAUCCAGAGCUAAAACUUUUAAAAGAAGUCUGUCUGUGAAAGUAAAAAGCAUGAUACAGGUCUCAUUAUGGGAAAGCAAAGGUCUUUCCUUUCUCAUCAAACUCAGAUGGAUAAAAAUCAAUCUUCAGCAGGGCUGGUCCUGUAGCACUGAGGGACAGCUGUGAGGAUCUAAUAGAGCCUGUGGGCUGAGGGAAAGCAAGAAGAUGUACUCCUCCACCAAAAAGGAGAUAAAAAUCUUUCCAGCUACUUGUUUCAAUGUGCCAUUAAUACCACGGUGUUGCCUGGAUUCAGUCCAAGACAACCAGCAGUAACCUGGGUACAGUGUGGAUCUGGUGCUACCUUGUACUUGCAAUUUCAGCUAGUUAAAAAUGUGGGGUUUUCAGAAUUUAAUUCCUUUUAAUGGCCCUUGUGAAAACACACGUGAGUGGCUCCAUCUAUUUCAGCACAGCACGAGUGAUAGAUGCAGCAGUAAUAUUUCAUGGUAUCACAUGAGUAAUGGGAUGUUCCCUCCUGUCACUCUUGGUAUCCCCGACUCAGAUUUCCCUCACCCUGUAAUUUUUUGUCAGGUGUGAACAUGUGAGAGGCUCUGCAGUAGUGGUCCAAGCAACACUCAUUUUUUGGCAACAGAGAAAUAUUGGAGCACACACUGAUUAUUCUUUAUCUAGAUUUGGGCAUGGUUGCUAAGCAGAAUUAUGCUUUAUGUUUGGAUUUUUAGCAUGCUGAUAACAGGUCUUUAGGGGUCUCUUCUUUGAAUUCCCUACUAAAGUGCGUCAGGUAUGAAAAUCAGAAAAGAAUUCUGAUUUCAACAUUUUAAUUGAAGAUCCACAGAGCGUGUAUUUUAAUCCAUCUUUGCUCAUUCUUUUCUUGCUAUUGUCACAAUUCCCACAUUUCUUUUCCAAGUACUUUCAGAUGACCCACAGCUUCUCUUGUUUCAGCAAGAAGCCACUUACGCAUCUCAUGAGCAUCACAGAUUCUCACAGUGUUUGUUUAUCUGUGUGGUUUUCAGUGUCUCUUGAUCCUUUUGGCUGUCCAAAUGUUUGUUUGGAAUUAUUCAUAACAUUAGGGAGUCAAUCUGCUUUAUUCCAGUUCUAGGACAUAAAACUUCUCUGGUCAAGACCCCUUCAAGACUGGGAGCCGCUGGACUGGGAGCUGCAUUCAGACCAGAGUUCACCAAAGCACAGGGAUGCACCAAAGUUUCCUUGCUCCAUAAGUCCUACAGUUUAGGGAAAUUGUUAAAUUGGAAUGAGAAUUGUUAUCAAAUAAAAGAGACUACCAGUGAUGAAACCCAGAAGGGUUUCUUUAAAUGCAGUUCUAGCAGACUGAUAAUUCAAGCUUCUAAUUGUUCGCAAAACAAUAGGAAGUCUAUAAGCUGGAUAUUUGCCAGCAGGGGCCACUUCUGAAAACUCUUUGCUUUUUUCUCUUCAUCUGCUGCAUUGGGAUGAGGGACAGAGUUAUGUCAACACUUGGAGAUAAUCUUUUUGUAUGGGUUUACAUAAGAGAAUAAGGAAAAGUCUAAGAAAAUUGUUCCCUUUCAUAGGUGAUGUACUGAAGAAAAGCAAAAAUAUGGAAAGAUAAUCUCUGAGAAUAAUAAAACAAAUAAAGGAAAUAGACCUGAAAUGAAGGGCACAGAACCUGGAAAGGCAUUGCCCACACAGGGGCAGUUUAUGCUGUGCCAGUCCUGUGUGAAUGCACAGGUUUGUGGAGUGUUUCUCUUCAGGCAUCUGCGGGAGAAACAUCAGCAGCCAAUCUCACAAGGAGCAGACAUAACAAACGUUAUUAAACUUGAAUUCCAAGGAGCACCAGGGCAGAGUUUAAUCACUCCUGUAUUUCUGAUAAACAGGAGUGCUCUUAAUGGCUUUGGAGCUGGAUCUGACUCGCACAGUGUGCCUCCAGAGAGAGGAAGGACUGCCCCGUGCCCGCGGGGCUGUGUCCGUGAGUGCGGGACGGGGAGGGCAGUGGGGCAGGGCAGCAAUCGCUGCCGUCCUGCUUCUCCAGGUGCCCCAGGAAGAGAAUUUGGCAAAAGAAGAGUUCCCUGUUGGCUUAGUGAGCCACUGCUGGUGGCAGGGAUGGAGCAAGGACUGGGAUGGUGCUCGGGAGAGCCAGGAGGGCACAUUUGGGGCUGCUGGGCUGUGACACCAACAGCAACACCUGAGGUCCCAGCCCACGAGAUCUGCCCCAGACAGGUCAUUGCCACACACUGUUCUUCGAUUACUUUGUAAUCACUUGUGGGUUUUUUCCUGAUUUCAUGGUAAAAGAGUUAUUUUAACUCACUGUUUUCCCAGUUAUGACUCACUGUUGUUCUCUCAUGGCUUUCCCUAUUUGCAUUUUAGAGUUCUUGCUCUGAUUACAAUUUGAACCCUUGCAGAAGUGCAGUGUCUGUUUUGCCUGGGCUGUGGUAUUUCAGAGUGCUGCAGAUGUUCAGGUAUCCUCUGCUGACUUCAGUAAAUGUUCUGCGUGGCUUUCCUUGCCUAAAAACUGGAUAGAAUCAGUGCUCUCAGUGCUCUCUUUCUUUGCCUUCCCCACCUUGAAGCUCCAGCAGAUGAUGGUUAAAUUCUUGCAAACCUUUCAGUGUGGUAGCCCAAGGCACAGGACAGCAAAUGAAAAGGCCAAGAAAGUAUCUGUGAAUAGAUUUUCUUGUUUAAAUUUUCAGCCAAGAGCUGCACUGAAUUUUUGAAACUAUUUUUAAUAUUGUAAAGUUCUGUCAUAUUUUUGCCAUCCCAACAUUGUAAGUUGAUGUAUUUUAUUGG
Long non-coding RNA from Corvus hawaiiensis (hawaiian crow), 3612 nucleotides. RefSeq lists it as uncharacterized. The transcript has 5 exons. The record is from RefSeq and is a predicted model, not a curated record. NCBI's taxonomy places the organism in Eukaryota, Metazoa, Chordata, Aves, Passeriformes, Corvidae.